Molecule: long non-coding RNA, 1109 nt
Filed under: Amborella trichopoda
Lineage: Eukaryota; Viridiplantae; Streptophyta; Magnoliopsida; Amborellales; Amborellaceae
Description: long non-coding RNA (ATRI_LNC004539)
Source: RNAcentral
CAAUUUCGAGAUUGUAGUAUUGAUGUGAGAAGAAUAAUUAGUUUCAACCGGCCAAUCUAACCUGAUUACAGUUCUCCAUGCCACACCAAGGCAUAUUACACUGUUAAAUAACAUUCGAUAAAGCAUAAAGAAAGGCAUCCUUUUCAUUACCAGCAUUGAGCCCAUAGAAAAUACAUUGAAAAGAUGGCACAGGGCCUUGAAAGACGAGACAAACAUCUAUCAGACCAAUUCAAAACAGAUCCCCUGAUGAAACUGAGAUCCCAAAUCACCAACAAACCCCCUGCCCUACCACUAGCAUCGGCGAAGACAAUAUCUAGGGGUCUUGAACCCCCAAAAUACUUUAGCAGAAAAACAUCAACUUUGUUUCUUGAAGGAUAAAACCAGACGUCUAAGUGCUCUUCGCCUAUGCACUCCCCGCAAACCUGAGAGGACCCUUUCUGGUGACUCCUUAGGGGCCAACUUCAAAGGGGUCAGGUCAAAUGAGAGUCCUUCCAUCAGCAUCUCCCUUUCACGGAUAAAGAAAGGAUGACGUCUCCGUCGCCUAACGGUAACCGGCACGGCCAUCUCCUCUUGUUGCAGUGCUUCAUCGACCACCUCAAUGGAGCCCUCGAACCCAACCUUCAUGGCCAUUAUCAUCUCCUAAGGCUCGCAUCUUCGCUCCGUAAACGAACUUACUUACUUUUGCACCAAUUUUUUGACCUAGGAGAUAGGAAGAACUCAGACUAAGAGGAAAGGUGAUGAAACAACAAAUAAAAGCAUUUGCACGAUGGUGGGAUUAAGCAACCAUUUCCAGCAACUUGAUAUCUAGAUAGCCCGACCCGACCCGCCCUUUUCCUUUUUGGAUAACACCUUCAAGAAACUGAAGGUUGGCAGAGUCUGAAACUUGCAAAGUUUUAUUACUGAUAAAUCAUGGCCAUCCAAAUACCCAUACGCAGCAUAAGAUUUAGCAUCAGAUGAGAAGGCCUUAAAAAACGUAGAUCAGCAUCAUGCAUCAUGCACCACGCACCUUCUCACACAUUCCACCAAUCAACAUUACCAUCUUCUCUUUCCGCACCAUAUUGGAGGAGUGUCACUGCUAACAACCAUCUAGGACUGCCGCAUUAAUGAAA